Molecule: long non-coding RNA, 1381 nt
Filed under: Olea europaea subsp. europaea
Lineage: Eukaryota; Viridiplantae; Streptophyta; Magnoliopsida; Lamiales; Oleaceae
Source: RNAcentral
ACCAUUGCAUGCAUUUGUAGUCAAUUUUAAUCAUAUAAUCAAUAAAAUUAAAUGUAAUCAUUUAUUUAGUAAUUUUUAUAUAGUAAUAAAAUAAAUAAAUUGUUAAGAACGAAACAAUUUAAGAAAACGAUGAAAUAUUGUUCAUUUGGUACAAUUUUUGAUGUAUUGGGUUGAAGAUGAUUCUCAGUUUGGUGCAAAAUGAAACAAAAAUUUACCUCAAAUUCAAAACAAGAUCUAGGUCUCAAAGCUCAUCAAUAAAAAUAAAAUUCAUGUAUCUUUCUUUGAGAUAACCUAAAUAAACUUUUCUUCCUUGAACAGAAAAGGAGCAAUCUGGCUUCUUUCUCAUCUAUUUUCUGCAAGAUUCCAUCAGUUCCUAAAAACCUUUUAGAAAAAAUCCAUUUAACUGCAGAAAUAUGAAGAGAGCUGUGAUUGAUAUAAUAUACACGUACUGUAAAAGUCUCUGCGUGUGUGUGUGUCGACAAAUGGAUUUUUUUGACUUUCUUCAGUAACCAAAAAUGGAAAAAGUAGAUCUAGAGAAAGAUACAAACUUGUUAUCAUGGUCAGAGAUUGAUCAGUUGAUAGAGAGAGAAGUUUAAUCAGAUCAAAAUAAGGAAUUUUAUCCCAUGAGAUAUGAAAAGAAACAGAAUACAAAAACUUGAAAAAAAAAAAAAAGGAAAUAUAGCAAAAAAAAAAAGGGUAUAUAGGGAUAAGUGUAGAGCUCCCUUCAAUCCAAAGAAGGAUUUAACUUGCGAAAUGCAGGCUCCUGACACAUGCAACCCACAAACCCAUCCAAUACGGAUUAUAGAUAUGGAUAGGGUUGAGGGAUCCAUGGAUUAGCAGCUCGAUUUUCCCAGAAAGAACCUCUUUUGGACUUCAAGGAGCUCCACCCACAAACCCUAAUCUCACUAUAUUCAAGUUCACCAACUCUCACAACCCUAAAAACUUGAAAAUGAAGGUUUGAACCUCUUUUGGGCUUCAAGGAGCUCUACCCACAAACCCUAAUCUCGCUAUAUUCAAGUGCACCAACUCUCACAACCCUACGCAUUUGAAGAUGAAGUUUGAACCAAGAAAAUCACUGAUCUGAUGUGAUCUUUCACAUAGAGAUACAGAUCUAAGCGAAGAAAAACACUUAAUAUUAAAUAAAUACCACGAAUUUGCAGAUCCAUAAACAAGCAUCUGACUAAUAGACGCAAGAAUCAUACACAGGUAAAAGGAGUGAAUGGUCUAAGAUAUAAAGGGGAGGAGGAUAAGACUUGGUUUGUGGGGCGGGGGAGCGGGAGUGGGGGUGACAACGGCUGUUUUCUUGUAUCUAUUGUCUCGGGAAGCGUCUCUACAUAGCUAGGUUAAUUGAUUGAUUAGAUUCCUUCAGGCUUUGUAAAAG